UACGAAGGGGGCUAGCGUUGUUCGGAUUUACUGGGCGUAAAGCGCACGUAGGCGGGUUGUUAAGUCAGGGGUGAAAUCCUGGAGCUCAACUCCAGAACUGCCUUUGAUACUGGCAACCUAGAGGCUGGAAGAGGUUAGUGGAAUUCCCAGUGUAGAGGUGAAAUUCGUAGAUAUUGGGAAGAACACCAGUGGCGAAGGCGGCUAACUGGUCCAGUACUGACGCUGAGGUGCGAAAGCGUGGGGAGCAAACAGG
Molecule: ribosomal RNA, 253 nt
Filed under: uncultured bacterium
Lineage: Bacteria
Description: partial 16S ribosomal RNA
Rfam family: Bacterial small subunit ribosomal RNA
Source: RNAcentral